This 110-nucleotide ribosomal RNA is filed under the name Paraburkholderia aspalathi. RNAcentral's name for it is "partial 23S ribosomal RNA". The stretch from base 1 to 94 matches the Rfam family "Bacterial large subunit ribosomal RNA", at positions 2832 to 2925 of the family's 2925-position model. The record is from RNAcentral. Lineage: Bacteria; Pseudomonadati; Pseudomonadota; Betaproteobacteria; Burkholderiales; Burkholderiaceae.
GGGUCGUUCAAGACCAGGACGUUGAUAGGUCAGGUGUGGAAGCGCAGUAAUGCGUUAAGCUAACUGAUACUAAUUGCCCGUAAGGCUUGAUCCUAUAACAGGUGUGUUUC